AUCACACCACUUCUCGUACAAUUACCGAAGUUAAGCAACGUUGGGUCUAGUCAGUACUUAGAUGGGUGACCGCCUGAAAAUACCAGGUGU
Molecule: non-coding RNA, 90 nt
Organism: Acanthosepion pharaonis
Lineage: Eukaryota; Metazoa; Mollusca; Cephalopoda; Sepiida; Sepiidae
Source: the annotation of a GenBank genome assembly